Molecule: long non-coding RNA, 206 nt
Filed under: Homo sapiens (human)
Lineage: Eukaryota; Metazoa; Chordata; Mammalia; Primates; Hominidae
Description: HSALNT0216721
Source: RNAcentral
GCUUAACUACGCUCCAGGAGCUGUAGGCUCCAGCCGCGCCUCGAGUCCCCAACCUUUGGCCCCGGAAGCCAAAAAGAGGAGCGGACGGUGAAGGAGUCAGGGAUAAUGUGAGUUGAUGCUGGCUGAGAUCUGCUCCGAUGAGGGUUUGAAAGAGAGAGCUCCGGGUGUCAAAGUCAGUGGAUGGCAAAACAUGCCUGGAGGGAGCA